CCUACGGGGGGCUGCAGUGGGGAAUAUUGCACAAUGGGGGAAACCCUGAUGCAGCGACGCCGCGUGAGUGAAGAAGUAAUUCGUUACGUAAAGCUCUAUCAGCAGGGAAGAAAAGCUGACCUUACGGUCAGCAGACGGUACCUGAGUAAGAAGCCCCGGCUAACUACGUGCCAGCAGCCGCGGUAAUACGUAGGGGGCAAGCGUUAUCCGGAUUUACUGGGUGGAAAGGGCGCGUAGACGGUGCGCCAAGUCUGGAGGGAAAUGCCGCAGCUUAACUGCGGAACUGCUUUGGAAACUGUCGAACUAGAGUGCGCGAGGGGUACGCGGAACUCCUAGUGUAGCGGUGAAAUGCGUAGAUAUUAGGAGGAACACCGGUGGCGAAGGCGGCUUACUGGACCGUAACUGACGUUGAGGCUCGAAAGCGUGGGGAGCAAACAGGAUUAGAUACCCGGGUAGUC
Molecule: ribosomal RNA, 458 nt
Filed under: uncultured bacterium
Lineage: Bacteria
Description: partial 16S ribosomal RNA
Rfam family: Bacterial small subunit ribosomal RNA
Source: RNAcentral